AACACAUGCAAGUCGAGGGGCAGCAUGACCUAGCAAUAGGUUGAUGGCGACCGGCGCACGGGUGAGUAACACGUAUCCAACCUACCGGUUAUUCCGGGAUAGCCUUUCGAAAGAAAGAUUAAUACCGGAUAGUAUAACGAGAAGGCAUCUUUUUGUUAUUAAAGAAUUUCGAUAACCGAUGGGGAUGCGUUCCAUUAGUUUGUUGGCGGGGUAACGGCCCACCAAGACAUCGAUGGAUAGGGGUUCUGAGAGGAAGGUCCCCCACAUUGGAACUGAGACACGGUCCAAACUCCUACGGGAGGCAGCAGUGAGGAAUAUUGGUCAAUGGACGAGAGUCUGAACCAGCCAAGUAGCGUGAAGGAUGACUGCCCUAUGGGUUGUAAACUUCUUUUAUAUGGGAAUAAAGUGAGCCACGUGUGGCUUUUUGUAUGUACCAUACGAAUAAGGAUCGGCUAACUCCGUGCCAGCAGCCGCGGUAAUACGGAGGAUCCGAGCGUUAUCCGGAUUUAUUGGGUUUAAAGGGAGCGUAGGCGGACUAUUAAGUCAGCUGUGAAAGUUUGCGGCUCAACCGUAAAAUUGCAGUUGAUACUGGUCGUCUUGAGUGCAGUAGAGGUAGGCGGAAUUCGUGGUGUAGCGGUGAAAUGCUUAGAUAUCACGAAGAACUCCGAUUGCGAAGGCAGCUUACUGGACUGUAACUGACGCUGAUGCUCGAAAGUGUGGGUAUCAAACAGG
Molecule: ribosomal RNA, 732 nt
Filed under: uncultured Bacteroidales bacterium
Lineage: Bacteria; Pseudomonadati; Bacteroidota; Bacteroidia; Bacteroidales
Description: bacterial SSU rRNA
Rfam family: Bacterial small subunit ribosomal RNA
Source: RNAcentral